This 130-nucleotide small nuclear RNA is filed under the name Macaca fascicularis (crab-eating macaque). RNAcentral's name for it is "U4 spliceosomal RNA (ENSMFAG00000006157.2)". The stretch from base 1 to 69 matches the Rfam family "U4 spliceosomal RNA". From Rfam's summary of the family: U4 small nuclear RNA (U4 snRNA) is a component of the major U2-dependent spliceosome. The structure of U4 snRNA from yeast and human has been reported. The record is from RNAcentral. Lineage: Eukaryota; Metazoa; Chordata; Mammalia; Primates; Cercopithecidae.
AGGUUUGCGCAGUGACAGUAUCGUAGCCAAUGAGGUUUAUCCGAGGCGCGAUUAUUGCUAAUUGCACAUGCACACGUAUGUUUAUUGCAGCACUAUUCACAAUAGCAAAGACUUGGAAUCAACCCAAAUG